RNAcentral lists this long non-coding RNA (1873 nucleotides) under Eucalyptus grandis. Its description in RNAcentral is "long non-coding RNA (EGRA_LNC000101)". Lineage: Eukaryota; Viridiplantae; Streptophyta; Magnoliopsida; Myrtales; Myrtaceae. The record is from RNAcentral.
CUCAACCAGAAGCUGCAGAAAAUGGGUAUGGCAGCCCCUUCUUGGCCCGUUUCGGCCGCCUUCCCGAGCCCGGAUGCUCGGCCCGCUUUGAGGAAAGUUGUUCUCCUCGGCGUCCCCGUCGUUUUGGUCCGCUCGGCUCGCUAAUCCGGUGAGUUUAACUCACUAAAUCUUGAUUAGAGUGUUAAUGAUGCCUUAAGUGUGCUUAGUUUAAAUUAAGUAAGUUUAUGUGGGUGGAUUAGGGUAUUUAAUUAUAAAUUGGAUUAAGAGGUUGGUUUAUGUUAAAGUGUGUUUAAAUUAAAGGUUAAAAGAAGUUAUUUAAAGUUAAGCCUUGAUGUGACAUAAAAAUGAUUUUAGUUUUGAAUUAUUUAAGUGCUUCGAAAUUCUGGAAAAUAUAAUAUUAUUUUAUAAUCCGAAAUUAUUAAAAUAUUAUUAAAAAAAAAUGAAAAAAAUUAUUUUUGACCCCGGUUGCUCAGAAUUUCGUGCCGAUCGCUGCUGUGUAUUCGGAUUUUGAAAUUGAUGGUUGGAUAUCAUAAAUUGACGGUGGAUUACGAAAAAUAUGGAUAUUAUUAUUUAAUUAAUUUUCGGAAUAAAAUUUAUUAUUUAUUAAAAUUCAAAAAUUUCAUCGGGACCCUAAACUCUCAGAAUUUCGUGCUGAUCGCUGCUGUGUAUUUAGAAUUUGAAUUUGAUGAUUGAUUGUGACAAAUUGAGUGUUGAUUGUGAUAAAUAUGGAUUUUAUUCAUAAAAUUCCAAGUGUCGAGUUCGGCAUUGAAAUUGGAUUGUUAAUGGCUAAUAUCAUAAUUGGAUUAUGUGAGUGAAACGUAAAGUAUCCAAGGAUCGAUAUCGAAUUGUCGUGUGCUAGUUGAAAGGCUCGGGUCGCAGUAGUGGCUAGGCCGACUGGAUCCUUAUUCUUCUAGAAAUGCUGUCGAUAGAACGACGUGGCUUGGUCGCAGUAGUGGCGAGACCGACUGGACCUUUAUUUUUCUAGAAAUGCUGUCGAUAGAACGACGUGGCAUGGUCGCAGUAGUGGCGAGAUCGACUGGACCUUUAUUUUUCUAGAAAUGCUGUCGAUAGAACGACGUGGCUUGGUCGCAGUAGUGGCGAGACCGACUGGACCUUUAUUCUUCUAGAAAUGCUGUCAAGAGAAUGACGUGGCUUGGUCGUAGUAGUGGCGAGACCGACUGGACCUUUUAUUCUCCUAGAAAUGCCGUCGAUAGAAUGACGUAGCUUGGUCGCAGUAGUGGCGGGACCGACUGGACCUUUAUUCUUCUUGAAAUGCCGUGAUGUUAAUAGAUAGCCGACCUGUGAGUAGACUAUGCCCUCAUGUGGCAGUGAAUAAUAAUUGGAAUGCGUGCUAAGUGCGAUCGUGAUUUAUAUGAAAGUGAUGGCGUUCCAAUUGUUUGAAUUAUUAUUACUACCUGAGAUUAUGUGAUACAAAUUGUGCUAACCUGCAGAAAGGAAUUGAGGCGAGGUAAGUCCCCUGUGUGAUGUGGCUAGGCUACCCUUGGGCGUAUUUUCUUUCUAAUAGGGGUUUAGGGGAUUGAACUUGCUGAGACGUUGUCUCAGUGGUUAUUGAAUAACCAUUUCAGGUCCCUGGUGGACGGAGCGGCCAGAUAGCUUUGGUUGGCCUUGAGGAGAUGGAGAGGUGAAGUCAUAAGGAUUGGAGAUCGUGUACGACUUGUAGGUCGUAGGACAAUUCAUUUUUAAGAGCCAGUCUUUUGUAGACUUUUGGUCGUAGACCUUUGUUUGUAAUUCUGUUGAAUUAUGGAAGUGUUAUGUUGUGGUUUUGUUUUCUGCUUUUCUAUCCCGUAUUUUAUUGUCAAAGGUUUUAUAAUACGUUCCGCUUGCGCAUAAUAAUUAUAAUAAAAAAAAAUUG